Molecule: RNA transcript, 714 nt
Organism: Ixodes scapularis (black-legged tick)
Lineage: Eukaryota; Metazoa; Arthropoda; Arachnida; Ixodida; Ixodidae
Exons: 4
Source: RefSeq, a predicted model, not a curated record
AAUGGCAGUACAAGGUCCCCCAUGGACACGAAAGCAGUGAGGAGGCUUCAUUGGAGACGGUGCGCACUGAAAACUGUGAAACCGCCCAAAGAGAGAGCUUGCCAGAUGAAACUUCUCCAGAUGACUCCUCUCCAGAUGUACCAUUGGUAGGCAUCGAGCCCUUUGAGCUGCCUUCGUGUUCAGACGACGAUGGGAACACCUUCAUUUUCCCCAAGCUUGGAGCUCUCCAUGAUACGAUCAUCUCUGGCAAACCUCUGACAUCUUCAUCAUUCCGAAAGAUUGUGGAGCUCCUCUUUCGUGCAAUGGUGAACAUAACAGUGUUCCCAUCUCAGCACUUUUACUCCAAGGUCACUCAGCUACUAACUGACAAGUACCCUCAGCUCCAAGAUGUUAUAGGAACUGGAUCAGUAAGCACAUUUCUUUUGCACGUUUAUAAUAAUAGCUGCGAUCAAUUCUUAGCAUUGGUGCUUCUAUACAUCUUUCCAAAAAACGCUCCUAGGCCGCCGCCAUGUUGCUGAUGCUGAUGCAGCUGGCCCUCUAUCAGCUAGAAAUUUUCUGCCACCCUCUUGGACUGUUUUUUUUUUUUUUCUUCUUCUUACAAUUCAAAACCCAAUGUUUACACUGGUGGACGCAGGGUCUCGGGAGGUUAUACAGGGUGUUUCACGAAAGGUGGACAAAUUCAAUAUUGCAAAAACUGCUCGAAGGCUUGUGUCG